Molecule: ribosomal RNA, 253 nt
Filed under: uncultured bacterium
Lineage: Bacteria
Description: partial 16S ribosomal RNA
Rfam family: Bacterial small subunit ribosomal RNA
Source: RNAcentral
UACGUAGGGUGCGAGCGUUGUCCGGAAUUAUUGGGCGUAAAGGGCUCGUAGGCGGUCUGUUGCGUCAGGAGUGAAAACUCGGGGCUUAACCCCGAGCCUGCUUCUGAUACGGGCAGACUAGAGGUAUGCAGGGGAGAACGGAAUUCCUGGUGUAGCGGUGAAAUGCGCAGAUAUCAGGAGGAACACCGGUGGCGAAGGCGGUUCUCUGGGCAUUACCUGACACUGAUGCGCGACAGCAUGGGGAGCAAACAGG